Nicotiana tabacum (common tobacco) is the source of this 1067-nucleotide long non-coding RNA. RefSeq lists it as uncharacterized. The record is from RefSeq and is a predicted model, not a curated record. Lineage: Eukaryota; Viridiplantae; Streptophyta; Magnoliopsida; Solanales; Solanaceae.
CCUAAGGAAAAAAGAUCUGAAAGAUAUCCUAAAGCCAGAGCGCCGCUUUCAGAGAACCCCACCCCCUCGAUCGAGUAUCUUCUUCUUCUUCUUAUGCCAUUUUCAAUGGUUUCGUCUGAAGCAAAAAGCAACAACUCCAUGAGCUACUGUUCUUGAACAAAAUUGAGACCUUAAGCAUCAGCUUCCUCUUAUCCAAAAAGAAAAAAUAAAAGACAUGAGCAUCUAGAAAUGGGAGGGAUCGAAAAUUUCCAGCAGUUUCUUCAUCUCGUAACUCCGACAACCCUCCAUUGAGUCCGGCGAAAGCCGAGUUCGAACCCAGUCAUAAACUCAGCUACAAAACCAUCUGAAAUAACAUCUCAAAGCAGCACGAAACACACACAAAAUUAGCCAAGGUUUUGAGUCGAGCCCGUCGAGUUCGCCCAUUUGGUGUUCUAGUCGAAGGUUUCGUUUUCAAUUUCCAGUAACCUGUAUUGCCGAGAGCUGCUGCUAGUACUUGCUUGUGCAGCAAAACAUGAUGUUGGUACCAAGAGUUCUGCCUGGGGGAAGGAGUUGUCGGACGGCACAUCCAGUAGCAAUUCCUCGUCAGAACUUCCAUUUGCAAAAUGGAGAGAAUCCAGAUUCCAGCAUAGGAGAAUUAUUACAAGGCAAGGCAAAUAGGCUUUUGGACUGAAGCAAAAGCUAUCGAUGUAUAUUAGUUCCUUCUACUCAUACCUGCUUUUCAUAACCACCAUAUUGGGACUCUUCAUUGCUUUCUUUGCACCUGAAGCGAAAUGGGUUGAAAAGUAUUUCCAUAUGAAUUAGUGAUAUAGUUGAAGCACAUACUGCACAUGGAAAAUAGAGCUAGGGAAUUUUUCCUCAAAGAAAAAAAUCUACUAUUCCCCCAUUGCCCUCAAAUGAAGUUUUAGCAUUACUUAAGCUGGGGAAAUUAUGUGGCAAAGAUACUUGAUAAAGAGGAAAGCUAGACAAAUUUUAUGGACCAUCUGUUGCAAGAUUGAGGAAAUUGUUCACAUGUACAAGUAUGACAUUAAAAGUAUGUUAAUUCUAUCCUUUUUUUUCUUUUGGCAUUA